CAGUCGCCGCGGUAAUACGUAGGGUGCGAGCGUUAAUCGGAAUUACUGGGCGUAAAGCGUGCGCAGGCGGUUUUGUAAGACAGGCGUGAAAUCCCCGGGCUCAACCUGGGAAUGGCGCUUGUGACUGCGAAGCUAGAGUGCGGCAGAGGGGGAUGGAAUUCCGCGUGUAGCAGUGAAAUGCGUAGAGAUGUGGAGGAACACCGAUGGCGAAGGCAGCCCCCUGGGCCAAUACUGACGCUCAUGCACGAAAGCGUGGGGAGCAAACAGGAUUAGAUACCCCCGUAGUCCCUGUCUCUUAUAC
RNAcentral lists this ribosomal RNA (301 nucleotides) under uncultured bacterium. Its description in RNAcentral is "partial 16S ribosomal RNA". It matches the Rfam family "Bacterial small subunit ribosomal RNA", at positions 509 to 807 of the family's 1533-position model. The record is from RNAcentral.